UACGAAGGGGGCUAGCGUUGUUCGGAAUUACUAGGCGUAAAGCGCACGUAGGCGGACUAUUAAGUCAGGGGUGAAAUCCCGGGGCUCAACCCCGGAACUGCCUUUGAUACUGGUAGUCUCGAGUCCGGAAGAGGUGAGUGGAAUUCCGAGUGUAGAGGUGAAAUUCGUAGAUAUUCGGAGGAACACCAGUGGCGAAGGCGGCUCACUGGUCCGGUACUGACGCUGAAGUGCGAAAGCGUGGGGAGCAAACAGG
RNAcentral lists this ribosomal RNA (253 nucleotides) under uncultured bacterium. RNAcentral describes it as "partial 16S ribosomal RNA". It matches the Rfam family "Bacterial small subunit ribosomal RNA", at positions 524 to 776 of the family's 1533-position model. The record is from RNAcentral.